ACGGGUGAGUAAUGUCUGGGGAUCUGCCCGAUAGAGGGGGAUAACCACUGGAAACGGUGGCUAAUACCGCAUAACGUCGCAAGACCAAAGAGGGGGACCUUCGGGCCUCUCACUAUCGGAUGAACCCAGAUGGGAUUAGCUAGUAGGCGGGGUAACGGCCCACCUAGGCGACGAUCCCUAGCUGGUCUGAGAGGAUGGCCAGCCACACUGGAACUGAGACACGGUCCAGACUCCUACGGGAGGCAGCAGUGGGGAAUAUUGCACAAUGGGCGCAAGCCUGAUGCAGCCAUGCCGCGUGUAUGAAGAAGGCCUUCGGGUUGUAAAGUACUUUCAGCGGGGAGGAAGGCGAUGUGGUUAAUAACCGCAUUGAUUGACGUUACCCGCAGAAGAAGCACCGGCUAACUCCGUGCCAGCAGCCGCGGUAAUACGGAGGGUGCAAGCGUUAAUCGGAAUUACUGGGCGUAAAGCGCACGCAGGCGGUCUGUUAAGUCAGAUGUGAAAUCCCCGGGCUUAACCUGGGAACUGCAUUUGAAACUGGCAGGCUUGAGUCUCGUAGAGGGGGGUAGAAUUCCAGGUGU
This 578-nucleotide ribosomal RNA is filed under the name uncultured bacterium. Its description in RNAcentral is "bacterial SSU rRNA". It matches the Rfam family "Bacterial small subunit ribosomal RNA", at positions 102 to 676 of the family's 1533-position model. The record is from RNAcentral.